GCAGUAGCUCAAUUUGGUAGAGCACCGGUCUCCAAAACCGAAGGUUGGGGGUUCAAGUCCCUCCUGCC
RNAcentral lists this transfer RNA (68 nucleotides) under marine eukaryotic metagenome. It matches the Rfam family "tRNA". Rfam says of the family: Transfer RNA (tRNA) molecules are approximately 80 nucleotides in length. Their secondary structure includes four short double-helical elements and three loops (D, anti-codon, and T loops). The record is from RNAcentral.